AGUGAACGCUGGCGGUAGGCCUAACACGUGCAAGUCGAACGGCAGCACAGUAAGAGCUUGCUCUUACGGGUGGCGGGUGGCGGACGGGUGAGGAAUACAUCGGAAUCUACUUUUUCGGGGGGGAUAACGUAGGGAAACUUACGCUAAUACCGCAUACGACCUACGGGGGAAAGCAGGGGAUCUUCGGACCUGGCGCGAUUGGAUGAGCCGAUGUUGGAUUUGCUAGUUGGCGGGGUAAAGGCCCACCAAGGCGACGAUCCGUAGCUGGUCUGAGAGGAUGAUCAGCCACACUGGAACUGAGACACGCUCCAGACUCCUACGGGAGGCAGCAGUGGGGAAUAUUGGACAAUGGGCGGAAGCCUGAUCCAGCGAUACCGCGUGGGUGAAGACAGCCUUCGGGUUGUAAAGCCCUUUUGUUGGGAAAGAAAAGCAGCAGGUUAAUACCACGCUGUUCUGACGGUACCCAAAGAAUAAGCACCGGCUAACUUCGUG
This 492-nucleotide ribosomal RNA is filed under the name uncultured bacterium. Its description in RNAcentral is "partial 16S ribosomal RNA". It matches the Rfam family "Bacterial small subunit ribosomal RNA", at positions 29 to 507 of the family's 1533-position model. The record is from RNAcentral.